This 324-nucleotide unclassified non-coding RNA is filed under the name plant metagenome. RNAcentral describes it as "partial contains 5.8S ribosomal RNA, internal transcribed spacer 2, and large subunit ribosomal RNA". The stretch from base 1 to 105 matches the Rfam family "5.8S ribosomal RNA", at positions 50 to 154 of the family's 154-position model. The record is from RNAcentral.
GAAAUGCGAUAAGUAAUGUGAAUUGCAGAAUUCCGUGAAUCAUCGAAUCUUUGAACGCACAUUGCGCCCUCUGGCAUUCCGGGGGGCAUGCCUGUCCGAGCGUCAUUACGCACCCUCAAGCUCUGCUUGGUAUUGGGCUGUCGCGGGGGGGCUCUCUCCCUGCGGGCCUCAAAGCUAUCGGCGGUGGUGCCCUGCUUCAAGCGUAGUAAAGUUUAUUCUUUCGCUUUGGAGGCUAGGGCUCCACCCGCCGGACAAACCGGGCCCUCGCGCCCAUCUUUCCAAGGUUGACCUCGAAUCAGGUAGGGAUACCCGCUGAACUUAAGC